RNAcentral lists this ribosomal RNA (460 nucleotides) under uncultured bacterium. Its description in RNAcentral is "partial 16S ribosomal RNA". It matches the Rfam family "Bacterial small subunit ribosomal RNA", at positions 338 to 795 of the family's 1533-position model. The record is from RNAcentral.
CCUACGGGUGGCAGCAGUGAGGCAUAUUGGUCAAUGGGCGCGAGUCUGAACCAGCCAAGUAGCGUGAAGGAUGCCUGCCCUACGGGUUGUAAACUUCUUUUAUAAAGGAAUAAAGUGAGGCACGUGUGCCUUUUUGUAUGUGUUUUAUUAAUAAUGAUCGUCUAACUCCGUGCCAGCAGCCGCGUUAAUACGGAGGAUCCGAGCGUUAUCCGGAUUUAGUGGGUUUAAAGGGAGCGUAGAUGGGUUGUUAAGUCAGUUGUGAAAGUGUGCGGCUCAACCGUAAAAUUGCAAUUGAUACUGGCAGUCUUGAGUACAGGUGAGGUAGGCGGAAUUCGUGGUGUAGCGGUGAAAUGCUUAGAUAUCACGAAGAACUCCGAUUGCGAAGGCAGCUUACUAAACUGCCACUGACAUUGAUGCUCGAAAGUGUGGGUAUCAAACAGGAUUAGAUACCCGUGUAGUC